RNAcentral lists this ribosomal RNA (440 nucleotides) under uncultured bacterium. RNAcentral's name for it is "bacterial SSU rRNA". It matches the Rfam family "Bacterial small subunit ribosomal RNA", at positions 338 to 795 of the family's 1533-position model. The record is from RNAcentral.
CCUACGGGUGGCAGCAGUGGGGAAUAUUGGACAAUGGGCGCAAGCCUGAUCCAGCCAUGCCGCGUGAGUGAUGAAGGCCUUAGGGUUGUAAAGCUCUUUCGCCAGGGACGAUAAUGACGGUACCUGGAUAAGAAGCCCCGGCUAACUUCGUGCCAGCAGCCGCGGUAAUACGAAGGGGGCUAGCGUUGUUCGGAAUCACUGGGCGUAAAGCGCAUGCAGGCGGAUCGCUAAGUCGGGGGUGAAAGCCCGAGGCUCAACCUCGGAACUGCCUUCGAUACUGACGAUCUUGAGUCCGGGAGAGGUGAGUGGAACUCCGAGUGUAGAGGUGAAAUUCGUAGAUAUUCGGAAGAACACCAGUGGCGAAGGCGGCUCACUGGCCCGGUACUGACGCUGAGAUGCGAAAGCGUGGGGAGCAAACAGGAUUAGAUACCCCUGUAGUC